AGUGAACGCUGGCGGUAGGCCUAACACAUGCAAGUCGAACGGCAGCACAGUAAGAGCUUGCUCUUACGGGUGGCGAGUGGCGGACGGGUGAGGAAUACAUCGGAAUCUACUUUUUCGUGGGGGAUAACGUAGGGAAACUUACGCUAAUACCGCAUACGACCUACGGGUGAAAGCAGGGGAUCUUCGGACCUUGCGCGAUUGAAUGAGCCGAUGUCGGAUUAGCUAGUUGGCGGGGUAAAGGCCCACCAAGGCGACGAUCCGUAGCUGGUCUGAGAGGAUGAUCAGCAACACUGGAACUGAGACACGGUCCAGACUCCUACGGGAGGCAGCAGUGGGGAAUAUUGGACAAUGGGCGCAAGCCUGAUCCAGCUAUACCGCGUGGGUGAAGAAGGCCUUCGGGUUGUAAAGCCCUUUUGUUGGGAAAGAAAAGCAGCAGGUUAAUACCCCGCUGUUCUGACGGUACCCAAAGAAUAAGCACCGGCUAACUUCGUG
RNAcentral lists this ribosomal RNA (492 nucleotides) under uncultured bacterium. Its description in RNAcentral is "partial 16S ribosomal RNA". It matches the Rfam family "Bacterial small subunit ribosomal RNA", at positions 29 to 507 of the family's 1533-position model. The record is from RNAcentral.